Molecule: ribosomal RNA, 497 nt
Filed under: uncultured bacterium
Lineage: Bacteria
Description: partial 16S ribosomal RNA
Rfam family: Bacterial small subunit ribosomal RNA
Source: RNAcentral
GAUGAACGCUGGCGGCGUGCCUAAUACAUGCAAGUCGAGCGAACAGACGAGGAGCUUGCUCCUCUGACGUUAGCGGCGGACGGGUGAGUAACACGUGGAUAACCUACCUAUAAGACUGGGAUAACUUCGGGAAACCGGAGCUAAUACCGGAUAAUAUAUUGAACCGCAUGGUUCAAUAGUGAAAGACGGUUUUGCUGUCACUUAUAGAUGGAUCCGCGCUGCAUUAGCUAGUUGGUAAGGUAACGGCUUACCAAGGCAACGAUGCGUAGCCGACCUGAGAGGGUGAUCAGCCACACUGGAACUGAGACACGGUCCAGACUCCUACGGGAGGCAGCAGUAGGGAAUCUUCCGCAAUGGGCGAAAGCUUGACGGAGCAACGCCGCGUGAGUGAUGAAGGUCUUCGGAUCGUAAAACUCUGUUAUUAGGGAAGAACAAAUGUGUAAGUAACUAUGCACGUCUUGACGGUACCUAAUCAGAAAGCCACGGCUAACUACGUG